Molecule: non-coding RNA, 202 nt
Filed under: Trichinella patagoniensis
Lineage: Eukaryota; Metazoa; Nematoda; Enoplea; Trichinellida; Trichinellidae
Description: Eukaryotic large subunit ribosomal RNA
Rfam family: Eukaryotic large subunit ribosomal RNA
Source: Rfam by way of RNAcentral
CGACCUCAGAUCAGACGUGGCGACCCGCUGAAUUUAAGCAUAUUAGUCAGCGGAGGAAAAGAAACUAACCAGGAUUCCCUCAGUAACGGCGAGUGAACAGGGAAGAGCCCAGCGCCGAAUCCCCGCCGCGCGUCGCGGCGUGGGAAAUGUGGCGUACGGAAGACCCACUCCCCGGCGCCGCUCGUGGGGGGCCCAAGUCCUU